This 253-nucleotide ribosomal RNA is filed under the name uncultured bacterium. RNAcentral describes it as "partial 16S ribosomal RNA". It matches the Rfam family "Bacterial small subunit ribosomal RNA", at positions 524 to 776 of the family's 1533-position model. The record is from RNAcentral.
UACGUAGGGGGCUAGCGUUGUCCGGAUUUAUUGGGCGUAAAGAGCGUGUAGGCGGCCAGGUAGGUCCGUUGUGAAAACUCGAGGCUCAACCUCGAGACGUCGGCGGAAACCCUCUGGCUAGAGUCCGGAAGAGGAGAGUGGAAUUCCUGGUGUAGCGGUGAAAUGCGCAGAUAUCAGGAAGAACACCCGUGGCGAAGGCGGCUCUCUGGGCAGUAACUGACGCUGAGGAGCGAAAGCGUGGGGAGCGAACAGG